GGGGCGUGAUAAUUUUCUCUCCAUACAAGUUUGCAGACAUUUAUAUACAAAGACCGUCCUGUGCGAGAUUCGCAUGAAAUUCUAGUAGAGCUUGGAAUUUGGAAUUGGUGUGGCAUAUCCAUCCUUUUGGCAGAUUUCCCAUCAAAUUUUCGUCUCUCACCAGGGUCGCUGGAGCGAGGCGAAAUUCAAUGAAGAUGACGGCAAUC
This 206-nucleotide long non-coding RNA is filed under the name Elaeis guineensis (African oil palm). RNAcentral's name for it is "long non-coding RNA (EGUI_LNC019509)". The record is from RNAcentral. Lineage: Eukaryota; Viridiplantae; Streptophyta; Magnoliopsida; Arecales; Arecaceae.